CCUACGGGAGGCUGCAGUGGGGAAUAUUGCACAAUGGGCGCAAGCCUGAUGCAGCCAUGCCGCGUGUGUGAAGAAGGCCUUCGGGUUGUAAAGCACUUUCAGCGGGGAGGAAGGCGUUAAGGUUAAUAACCUUGGCGAUUGACGUUACCCGCAGAAGAAGCACCGGCUAACUCCGUGCCAGCAGCCGCGGUAAUACGGAGGGUGCAAGCGUUAAUCGGAAUUACUGGGCGUAAAGCGCACGCAGGCGGUCUGUCAAGUCGGAUGUGAAAUCCCCGGGCUCAACCUGGGAACUGCAUUCGAAACUGGCAGGCUAGAGUCUUGUAGAGGGGGGUAGAAUUCCAGGUGUAGCGGUGAAAUGCGUAGAGAUCUGGAGGAAUACCGGUGGCGAAGGCGGCUCUCUGGCCUGUAACUGACGCUGAGGCGCGAAAGCGUGGGGAGCGAACAGGAUUAGAUACCCUUGUAGUC
Molecule: ribosomal RNA, 465 nt
Filed under: uncultured Klebsiella sp.
Lineage: Bacteria; Pseudomonadati; Pseudomonadota; Gammaproteobacteria; Enterobacterales; Enterobacteriaceae
Description: bacterial SSU rRNA
Rfam family: Bacterial small subunit ribosomal RNA
Source: RNAcentral